This 322-nucleotide unclassified non-coding RNA is filed under the name Hevea brasiliensis (rubber tree). Lineage: Eukaryota; Viridiplantae; Streptophyta; Magnoliopsida; Malpighiales; Euphorbiaceae. The record is from RNAcentral.
CCAGGGGGUAACUAACCAGAGAUGGUUGGAAUAUUCUAGAAGAAAUAAGAAGAUUCGAGAAGGAAGCCAAGCAGUUAUCCAUCUAUGCAAUCCGUUAAUGGAAUGACAGCAGAGAGCUCAUGGGAAGAGAGAGAUGCAGNNNAAGUGGGAGGCAUGCUUUGUAAUUUUCUUUCCAUUUAUUUGUCAGCUAGGAAUUGCUUGGGGGGCAGAAGGGAAUUCCUGCGCGGAAGAAGUUUCUCCUGGUAUUAUAAUUAGUUUUUUUCCCUAUUUUCUUUGUUACAGUGCUUCUUUACUUUAAGUGUACUCCAUAAUUUCUAUCAAU